Molecule: ribosomal RNA, 468 nt
Filed under: uncultured bacterium
Lineage: Bacteria
Description: partial 16S ribosomal RNA
Rfam family: Bacterial small subunit ribosomal RNA
Source: RNAcentral
GAUGAACGCUGACAGAAUGCUUAACACAUGCAAGUCUACUUGAAUUUGGGUUUUUUAACUUAGAUUUGGGUGGCGGACGGGUGAGUAACGCGUAAAGAACUUGCCUCACAGCUAGGGACAACAUUUGGAAACGAAUGCUAAUACCUGAUAUUAUGAUUAUAAGGCAUCUUAGAAUUAUGAAAGCUAUAUGCGCUGUGAGAGAGCUUUGCGUCCCAUUAGCUAGUUGGAGAGGUAACGGCUCACCAAGGCGAUGAUGGGUAGCCGGCCUGAGAGGGUGAACGGCCACAAGGGGACUGAGACACGGCCCUUACUCCUACGGGAGGCAGCAGUGGGGAAUAUUGGACAAUGGACCAAGAGUCUGAUCCAGCAAUUCUGUAUGCACGAUGACGUUUUUCGGAAUGUAAAGUGCUUUCAGUUGGGAAGAAAAAAAUGACGGUACCAACAGAAGAAGUGACGGCUAAAUACGUG